CAGUAGGGAAUUUUCGGCAAUGGGCGCAAGCCUGACCGAGCAACGCCGCGUGAGUGAAGAAGGCCUUCGGGUUGUAAAGCUCUGUUGUAAGGGAAGAAUGGCCAAGAGAGGGAAUGCUCUUGGAGUGACGGUACCUUACCAGAAAGCCACGGCUAACUACGUGCCAGCAGCCGCGGUAAUACGUAGGUGGCAAGCGUUGUCCGGAAUUACUGGGUGUAAAGGGCGUGUAGGCGGGAAUGUAAGUUGGAUGUGAAAUUACAGGGCUUAACCCUGGAGCUGCAUCCAAAACUACAUUUCUUGAGUACUGGAGAGGAAAGCGGAAUUCCUAGUGUAGCGGUGAAAUGCGUAGAUAUUAGGAGGAACACCAGUGGCGAAGGCGGCUUUCUGGACAGUAACUGACGCUGAGGCGCGAAAG
Molecule: ribosomal RNA, 415 nt
Filed under: Erysipelotrichaceae bacterium
Lineage: Bacteria; Bacillati; Bacillota; Erysipelotrichia; Erysipelotrichales; Erysipelotrichaceae
Description: bacterial SSU rRNA
Rfam family: Bacterial small subunit ribosomal RNA
Source: RNAcentral